Molecule: long non-coding RNA, 340 nt
Filed under: Chinchilla lanigera (long-tailed chinchilla)
Lineage: Eukaryota; Metazoa; Chordata; Mammalia; Rodentia; Chinchillidae
Description: lncRNA (ENSCLAG00000027346.1)
Source: RNAcentral
UUGUAUUCAUAAUAAAAAUGUUUAUAACCCAAUCACCUUUAUAUUUAUUAAGCACCAAUAAACAUUUUCAUAAAUAUUUUAGUCAUAAUACACUAAUAAAUAUUUAUUUGCUUUCCUCUCUUGAAGGCAGUGGGAAAGUUACUCAGAAGUCAAAAGAUGGUGUUAUCCUCAUAUGGUGGACCCUAGAGAAUGUCAUAUAUCACAGAAAAUGCACUAUACUGCUAGCUUUAGAGAAGAAAUUGAAAAUGCAUGUGCAGGGAUCUCAACGACCAAGGUACCUAAGCAGCAGUUCAGUGUAUUAACAAAUGUGUGGAAGAUGAUGGCCACCACUUGGAGCAUC